UCAAUAAAUGUAAAAAUACAAUGAUGGGUGUUUUGAUUUUUUUUUUUUGAUAAUCCCUGUUUCACAUUAUGAUAGACUUGUCCAGACUGAAACCGUUGCAAAAUUUGAAAUCUCAGACAUUCAGUGCUAACCAUAAAGGAUCUAAGUGGUAUUCCAGAUUAUUUUGGAGAUAUCAUCUUGUUUUUGAAUAUUGUGUACAUUAUUGUGGAAUUUCAAAGAAAACAUUUAUCUAAAUGUGACAAGAUUGUGGAAUUGUUUGGUUGUUGUAAUUGAACUAAGAAUGACCUGAGGCAGAAAGCUAUGCAAGAAUCAUAGUAAACAGUUUCAGGAACAGCUGUAUGGAUAUGUAAAGUACAGUGAUGACCUCUCAAAAGCCAGCAAGCUCCUGUUCAGAAAACUUUAUAGUGUUGAAGAAUACAGGGGCAGGUGUUUUACUGGCAACAGUACCAACACUAAAACCGAAAUCAAGGCCAGCAUUGGAGGACACAAUAUUACUGAAAGUCCUUCAUGAGUUGAUCAAGAGAAAAUGGCCAUAAUUUUGUGACUUUUGAAGCUGUCCAGAAAUUGACAUUGACAUUGAUGUUACCAAGCGGAAUAAAUAUUGUUUUAAUAUUUAUAAUAUUUUAUGUUUUGUAUUCUACCAGUGUAACAUAUUGUGUUUAAAAAUGAUGGAGAGCGAGUUCGUCAAUAUGUCAGGGAUUUAAAG
Ruditapes philippinarum (Manila clam) is the source of this 706-nucleotide long non-coding RNA. RefSeq lists it as uncharacterized. The record is from RefSeq and is a predicted model, not a curated record. The transcript has 3 exons. NCBI's taxonomy places the organism in Eukaryota, Metazoa, Mollusca, Bivalvia, Venerida, Veneridae.